RNAcentral lists this ribosomal RNA (484 nucleotides) under uncultured bacterium. RNAcentral's name for it is "bacterial SSU rRNA". It matches the Rfam family "Bacterial small subunit ribosomal RNA", at positions 29 to 488 of the family's 1533-position model. The record is from RNAcentral.
AACUAACGCUGGCGGCGUGCCUAACACAUGCAAGUCGUACGAGAAAGUUGGCUUCGGCCGAUGAGUACAGUGGCGCACGGGUGAGUAACGCGUGGAUAAUCUGCCCUUAAGUGUGGAAUAACGUACCGAAAGGUGCGCUAAUACCGCAUAAUGCCUGGCAACAUAAGUUGUCCGGCCAAAGAAGGCCUCUGCUUGCAAGCUUUCGCUAAAGGAUGAGUCCGCGUACCAUUAGCUAGUUGGUGGGGUAACGGCCUACCAAGGCGACGAUGGUUAGCUGGUCUGAGAGGAUGAUCAGCCACACUGGAACUGAGACACGGUCCAGACUCCUACGGGAGGCAGCAGUGAGGAAUAUUGCGCAAUGGGGCAACCCUGACGCAGCAACGCCGCGUGAGUGAGGAAGGUUUUCGGACUGUAAAGCUCUGUCGAGCGGGAAGAAGUGUACCAUGGCUAAUAUCCAUGAUAUUUGACGGUUACCGCUUAGAGG